Molecule: ribosomal RNA, 441 nt
Filed under: uncultured bacterium
Lineage: Bacteria
Description: partial 16S ribosomal RNA
Rfam family: Bacterial small subunit ribosomal RNA
Source: RNAcentral
CCUACGGGCGGCAGCAGUGGGGAAUAUUGCACAAUGGGGGAAACCCUGAUGCAGCGACGCCGCGUGAGUGAAGAAGUAUUUCGGUAUGUAAAGCUCUAUCAGCAGGGAAGUAGCAAGACGGUACCUGACUAAGAAGCCCCGGCUAACUACGUGACAGCAGCCGCGGUAAUACGGAGGGGGCAAGCGUUAUCCGGAUUUACUGGGUGUAAAGGGAGCGUAGACGGUAUGGCAAGUCUGAAGUGAAAGGUCGGGGCCCAACCCCGGGACUGCAUUGGAAACUGUUGAACUGGAGUACAGGAGAGGAAAGCGGAAUUCCUAGUGUAGCGGUGAAAUGCGUAGAUAUUAGGAGGAACACCAGUGGCGAAGGCGACUUACUGGACUGUAACUGACGUUGAGGCUCGAAAGCGUGGGGAGCAAACAGGAUUAGAUACCCCUGUAGUC